GUCUGAAGUGGGGAGCGGAGAGAGAGGCAGGUCUAGAUGCAGAUGGUCUGUUUCCCCUAACAACAGCAACGGCGGCGAGGAGAAAUCCUGGUCUCCGCCAGCUCCCGGCCAGACUCGUAAUCAGGCCACUAACGACAGCGGGGAGCGUAAAAGUUCUCUUCCCUACCCACCUCGCGUGAUGCGGUGACACAGAAUGAAAUUCACAACACACAUGGAGAAAAGGAAAACAACCAAUCCUUCCCCAGAACGGAACAGCUAAGAGCCAACGCUACUGAAAACCAUGGGGCAGGCAUCUCCACCGAGUGCAGGGAAGAGGCCAGGAGAAGACCCAGGAAAUAAAUUUAAAAAGGGACAGCCUUUGAGCUGGUCCCUGACCGGUGAGCAAGACUUAGCUGUUCAGGAAAGCUGUGUGGCUGGAGCAGAGAAUAUACUGGAAAUCAGAGAGGUCAAAAACAAUGAGCAGGAGAUAUCGGAAGAAAUGUUCCUAACCACUUCACUCUUCCAAAGCCUUCACCCAUCUCUGGUGAAUAUAUCUAGGUCCAGCAGGGUCUCAGAAGCAGAUGCCAACCUGAGGGGAAUAUUUACCAGAUGACGUGAAGGCCGUGGAAAAAGAAGAAAUUGGAAAAUUCAUUAUUUAAGUGUGCCAGGCUCAGCUCAAAUUAGCAAGUGAUGAUAAAUUCCUGGAGGCCUAGAACUCCGUGUUCUUCAUCUCCCAGUACAGUGCCUUUCGACAUAAAUAGAUGGUUGCUGAACUCCCCUCAAAGAGACAGGUACCUGUGGGCUGCAUCACCACCAGCGAACCCAGCAGACAGCACAGAUGCCUGCAUUCAGCUAGGUAGGAAACUAACCAUGUAAGCAGUGAAAAGCAUGUCAAGACAGCUAGGAAAAACCAUUAAAGUGAGUGGUAAACUGUUGAAAGGCUAACGUGAAUCACUAAACUAGAGAAGCUAGGAGUCAGGAGACCUGAGAACUAACCCUGAUGAUGCCCUUAAAUACCUUCUUUGCUUAAGACAAUUUAAUAUCUUAACCUUUGAGAAAAUAGGAAGCCUAUCACAAGACAGGCAAAAGGAACUUCCCUGCCACUGUCUCCCCUUGUUACCAAAUUAACGAUGGCACCUUACACACAGUCAAUAGUGCCUCAGAACCAAGAAAUCAUUUCUGAUCUUGAACAAUGCAUUUAAUGUCUGUAUGUUAAGAUGACAGCUCCUUGUCACACAGUUUAAUGGUCCAGGCUCACAUAUUUAGGAAACCAGGAUUGAAAAGCCAACUCAAAUGCUAUCAUCAUUAAGUUUUUUUAAAUUAUUAUUAUUUUCUGUAGCUCAGGCUGGAG
Molecule: long non-coding RNA, 1330 nt
Filed under: Homo sapiens (human)
Lineage: Eukaryota; Metazoa; Chordata; Mammalia; Primates; Hominidae
Description: HSALNT0394641
Source: RNAcentral